This 488-nucleotide ribosomal RNA is filed under the name Clostridium perfringens. RNAcentral describes it as "partial 23S ribosomal RNA". It matches the Rfam family "Bacterial large subunit ribosomal RNA", at positions 326 to 815 of the family's 2925-position model. The record is from RNAcentral. Lineage: Bacteria; Bacillati; Bacillota; Clostridia; Eubacteriales; Clostridiaceae.
GAUAUAAGCGAAGAGGUCUGGAAAGGCCCGCCAAAGAAGGUAACAGCCCUGUAACUGAAAUGUUGUUCUCUCCAGAGUGGAUCCUGAGUACGGCGGAACACGUGAAAUUCCGUCGGAAUCCGGGAGGACCAUCUCCCAAGGCUAAAUACUCCCUAGUGACCGAUAGUGAACCAGUACCGUGAGGGAAAGGUGAAAAGCACCCCGGAAGGGGAGUGAAAUAGAUCCUGAAACCGUGUGCCUACAAGUAGUCAGAGCCCGUUAACGGGUGAUGGCGUGCCUUUUGUAGAAUGAACCGGCGAGUUACGAUACCGUGCAAGGUUAAGCAGAAGAUGCGGAGCCGCAGCGAAAGCGAGUCUGAAUAGGGCGCAUGAGUACGUGGUCGUAGACCCGAAACCAGGUGAUCUACCCAUGUCCAGGGUGAAGUUCAGGUAACACUGAAUGGAGGCCCGAACCCACGCACGUUGAAAAGUGCGGGGAUGAGGUGUGGG